Molecule: long non-coding RNA, 884 nt
Filed under: Mus caroli (Ryukyu mouse)
Lineage: Eukaryota; Metazoa; Chordata; Mammalia; Rodentia; Muridae
Description: lncRNA (MGP_CAROLIEiJ_G0004337.1)
Source: RNAcentral
GAAAUUGUUCAAACAGAGAGGGAGAAUGGUAACUACAUUCCCAUUGGCUGGAGCUCCAGCACACUGCAGGGACCAUCUCUGAAGUGGAGACCCCUCUGGAUUUUCCUCCACACCCUGGUGUGUCAAGUCUCUGCAAGGCUAACCGCAUCCCCUCCCACUGAGGCCAGACGAGGCAACCCAGCUAGAAGAACAUAUCCCACAGACAGGCAACAGCUUUUGGACUAGCCACAGUUCCAGUUAUUCGGGACCCACAUGAAGACCAAGCUGCACAUCUGCUACAUAAAGGAUCCAUGUAUGAGUCUUUGAACAGAGAAAAAAAUUCUCAAAAGAAUAUUAUUCAUCUUAAAGACUUCCAUGGAAUAAAGUUCAUGAAGUGUCUGCAGUAGAAAAAUAAGGAGCCUGGCAGAUGCUCUUUUCAAUGACACCGCACAGCCUCUCGGGAAGUUGCUGAUGAUGACAGCGAUGAGCUCACCUGACAGACUGCUCUUUCUCCCUCUUCGGACACUCACACCCACACCAGGAAGAACCCGGAGGAGUGACUCAGAAUUCCCAGCAUCAGUGCCAGCUUGUGUGCUGUUGUUCUGACCGUGAGUGUGACGAUCAUGCCAGGGAGUCAGAUGUCUGCUGGAUUUAGAAAAGGAUCGAAGGUCAUGAAGGGAAGCAACAAGCCUAAGGGCUGCCAGUAGUUCUGUAGCUCUUACAACACCUCUUCACCACCCUUCCCAGCCAGGAGCAUGGCUACCAGAAGAGGAGGAACAGCAAGGGAGAGGAAGGGAUGGCUUAUUCCCCUCCUCUUCUUCCUAUCCUGAAAACACCCAUGUUACUGGCAUUCAGAUCCAUAGCGUAAAAGAUUACGUAUAAUAAAGAGAAAAUUUAACAACUUU